This is a long non-coding RNA of Rhincodon typus (whale shark), 528 nucleotides long. RefSeq lists it as uncharacterized. Lineage: Eukaryota; Metazoa; Chordata; Chondrichthyes; Orectolobiformes; Rhincodontidae. The record is from RefSeq and is a predicted model, not a curated record. The transcript is spliced from 3 exons.
UUAAAAAAGAACCUUGCACUUUUCCUAAUAGGGAAAUAUCCAGGUCAGAAAAUACACCUGAAAACUUUUAUUCAGAAAAUUUCAGCAGUUGCUCAGUGAAGAAGAGCAGAAGCUUCUUCAUACUUACCUGGUGCUGGAGGAGGCUGGUGCAAUUGUUAACCUCACUGUAACAAAAGGAAAGCAACACUUACAUCUACUGUGGGAUGUCAUGCAGGAAUGUGGGGCAUUGAUUAGAGCCUGGCCUACAAGAUAUCAGGAUCUGCUACAAAACAUGCGAAUUCGAGUUGCACAAAUUAGAGAUGGAAAUCUUGAGCUGUUUGUCCCUCAGGCCGACAGUGGGUCACAUGUCUGGAUUCUGCUUCACUCCCACUCUCCAGUCGCUGUGGUGGAAAAGCUCUGGAAUUACUUCACUGACUGUGAGGCCUACUGUUUAUUGUACAAACCAGUGGGACAAUUAUAUAUAAAGAAUAAAAUCAAGAUGUAUGUGUAUUUGAUUCCCAACUGUGACACUUUGGUUCAGGUAAAUUA